AUAUUUGAGUUAUAGCAGGAUCAAGUUACAAUAGAGAUUCUCUAGUAUAAUUCCUCCUACCACUUCCUUGUCCCCUUUCCAUAAUAAAAGCCAAAAUAUUUCUUCAAAACUCUCUACUCCAAAAAUUUUUACGUCGGGUUUAUCACGUCUAUCAUAUGGCAUGAUUUGCUAUCUGGGAAUACACUGAGUAUUUAGCUAUAGAGAAUGUAGCUUAAAUCCUUAGAUUGCAUGUGCUGACUUCAAAAUUCAAUAACUCCUUCAUUUCAACUUCAAAUCUAAUAAGCAGU
RNAcentral lists this long non-coding RNA (287 nucleotides) under Physcomitrium patens. RNAcentral's name for it is "long non-coding RNA (PPAT_LNC004769)". Lineage: Eukaryota; Viridiplantae; Streptophyta; Bryopsida; Funariales; Funariaceae. The record is from RNAcentral.